AACGAACGCUGGCGGCAUGCCUAACACAUGCAAGUCGAACGAGACCUUCGGGUCUAGUGGCGCACGGGUGCGUAACGCGUGGGAACCUGCCCUUAGGUUCGGAAUAACUCCCCGAAAGGGGUGCUAAUACCGGAUAAUGUCUUCGGACCAAAGAUUUAUCGCCUUUGGAUGGGCCCGCGCUGGAUUAGCUAGUUGGUAGGGUAAAAGCCUACCAAGGCGACGAUCCAUAGCUGGUCUGAGAGGAUGAUCAGCCACACUGGGACUGAGACACGGCCCAGACUCCUACGGGAGGCAGCAGUGGGGAAUAUUGGACAAUGGGCGAAAGCCUGAUCCAGCAAUGCCGCGUGAGUGAUGAAGGCCUUAGGGUUGUAAAGCUCUUUUGCCCGGGAUGAUAAUGACAGUACCGGGAGAAUAAGCUCCGGCUAACUCCGU
RNAcentral lists this ribosomal RNA (432 nucleotides) under uncultured bacterium. RNAcentral describes it as "partial 16S ribosomal RNA". It matches the Rfam family "Bacterial small subunit ribosomal RNA", at positions 29 to 506 of the family's 1533-position model. The record is from RNAcentral.